UACGUAGGGGGCGAGCGUUGUCCGGAUUUAUUGGGCGUAAAGAGCGUGUAGGCGGUUCGGUAAGUCUGUCGUGAAAUCCUGAGGCUCAACCUCGGGCGUGCGAUGGAUACUGCCGGGCUAGAGGAUGGUAGAGGCGAGUGGAAUUCCCGGUGUAGCGGUGAAAUGCGUAGAGAUGUGGAGGAACACCGAUGGCGAAGGCAGCCCCCUGGGCUAACACUGACGCUCAUGCACGAAAGCGUGGGGAGCAAACAGG
RNAcentral lists this ribosomal RNA (253 nucleotides) under uncultured bacterium. Its description in RNAcentral is "partial 16S ribosomal RNA". It matches the Rfam family "Bacterial small subunit ribosomal RNA", at positions 524 to 776 of the family's 1533-position model. The record is from RNAcentral.